This 253-nucleotide ribosomal RNA is filed under the name uncultured bacterium. RNAcentral describes it as "partial 16S ribosomal RNA". It matches the Rfam family "Bacterial small subunit ribosomal RNA", at positions 524 to 776 of the family's 1533-position model. The record is from RNAcentral.
UACGGAGGGUGCAAGCGUUAUCCGGAUUUACUGGGUUUAAAGGGUGCGUAGGUGGGUAGGUAAGUCAGUGGUGAAAUCUUCGAGCUUAACUCGGAAACUGCCAUUGAUACUAUUUAUCUUGAAUACUCUGGAGGUAAGCGGAAUAUGUCAUGUAGCGGUGAAAUGCUUAGAUAUGACAUAGAACACCCAUUGCGAAGGCAGCUUGCUACACAAUGAUUGACGCUGAGGCACGAAAGCGUGGGGAUCAAACAGG